This is a non-coding RNA of Camellia sinensis, 1916 nucleotides long. Lineage: Eukaryota; Viridiplantae; Streptophyta; Magnoliopsida; Ericales; Theaceae. The record is from RefSeq and is a predicted model, not a curated record.
ACAUAAUGCAGCGCAUUCACUCUCAGUCUCCCUCUUUUUGUCUAAACCUUGAUUUCACUCUCUCUCUCUCUCUCUCUCUCUCUCUCUUCAAACCCCUUCGUAUUUGUAGAACCGCAGCUGAACCCCUUUGUAUUCGUAGAUCGAUUCAUGUAUUCGAAGAUCGAUUCAAGUAUUAUUCACUCUCAGUCUUGCUCUCUCUCUCUCUAAACCCUUAAUUUCAAUCCCUCUCGCUUCAAACCCCUUCGUUUCAGAGACAACCCUUCAUAUUUGUAGAACCGUAGCUGAACCCCUUCGUAUUUGCAAAUCGAUUCAAGUAUUCAUAUAUCGAUUCAAGCCUUUUCUCUAAUUCGUGUUCGCGUUCGCGUUCGCAGCUCUUUCUUCAUAAUGGUGAUGACUGUUUUCGCAUACAUCUAUCAUCAGUCAUUUGUUGCAUCACAAAGUUUAUCGGUUGAGAUGAUUUUGGACCAGAUAUUGAUGAACCUCACUUUCGAGGAGCAGCGAGCUCUAUACACGUAUGUUUGUAGCUUCUCCAGGUAAGAUUUCUGUGCGAGAAUGUGACAGUAUUGUUAAGCGGACAAGUUGAGAGGGUCUUGACUUCUGUAAUUCUUUUCCCUCUCCUUAUGAAUCUUAUGCAUGGUUGAAAUGUGAAAGGGGUGAAGAAGAAGAUUGCUAUGAAGUGCUGAGAGAGAAUGUGGCCACGGAAGCUUUUCCGACGACCCUUUGUUGAACAGUGUUGUUGGACAUCUCCUGCAUUCGUCAAUUCUUGUGCCUUAUCAUGGAUGUCUGUGAUGUUCAGGCACCGAUACAAAUGGCACAAGGCAGAACUGAAGAGUUGAUUUGUUCCAUUCCCUAGUUGGAUAGUAAUGACCUGGGAAGCAUCUGAAGAAGAAAUAUUAGCUUCUGGGGGAUUGGAUGCAGUGGUUUUCCUCAGGAUUGUUGUUUUCUGGUAAUUAUAUCUUAACUUAAACUUGUAAAGUGAAAGUUCAUUCAUGUGUUGUAGAGGUGCAGCUAAUCUUGAUUUGGAGAAUUACUAGAAAUGACUGAUAUGUAGAGGUUUUUGGUUGUUACAUUGCUGGGUAAUGUGAUUGUUUCCAUGAACUACAUUGAUAAGGGAUUUAUUGUUGACUGCCUAUCACAAAAAAAAGAAAAAUAAUAUAAAAGGGUUUCUUCUUGUCUGGUGCCUCUACGUUGGCAUCCUCUUCUUCUUCUUCUUCUUCUUCUUCUUAUUUUUCUUCGCAAAUGUUAGUGCAUUUAUAAUAUCAAUUAAUGUUUGAGUGAAAUUUCAAAAUCUGUAAUUUUCUUUGUCUAACACGAAAAAGUGAAAAGAUAGUAGCUAUUCACGAGAAUGGCAUGAUUGGCUGAAGAAAAGCUUGGCUACUCUUGUGGUAUCCAUCUUAUAUUAUUUGCUUAUGUUUUAUUCUAUUUUCUAUGACUAUGAAUAAGGGAUUUUUCAUUCUAGCUGAUUUAAAACAAUUGGGACCAUUUAUAAUAUGAGGAUCAUGUUUUUGACAGUGAAUGACAAAUACUGUAAUUUUUUAGUGCUUCACUUCAUACAAGUUACUUUGGUAGCUCUAGAGUUAGUGGUGCUAUACCUUCAACGUUUGUUGUUCUACGAAAUCUGCAGACAGUGUGGGCUUCAGACAAUGAACUCACUAGUAGCAUACCUGAAUUCAUUGGGAAUUGGUCAAAGCUUAAAAGCUUGAGAUUUCAGGGAAACUCCUUUGGAGGUCCAAUACCAACAACAUUUUCCAACUUAACCUUGAUGGAGGACUUGAGAAUAAGUGAUUUAUCUAGUGGAAGUUCUUCAUUGGCAUUUCUUAAGGAUAUGAAGUCUUUGAAUCUCUUGUAAGGCGAUAUGGUCAAAGAUUAUCAAAGAUUGUUACAACUGUUCGCAGAUAAAGAGGGUGGACUUAGCA